RNAcentral lists this ribosomal RNA (497 nucleotides) under uncultured bacterium. RNAcentral's name for it is "partial 16S ribosomal RNA". It matches the Rfam family "Bacterial small subunit ribosomal RNA", at positions 28 to 507 of the family's 1533-position model. The record is from RNAcentral.
GAUGAACGCUGGCGGCGUGCCUAAUACAUGCAAGUCGAGCGAACGGACGAGAAGCUUGCUUCUCUGAUGUUAGCGGCGGACGGGUGAGUAACACGUGGAUAACCUACCUAUAAGACUGGGAUAACUUCGGGAAACCGGAGCUAAUACCGGAUAAUAUUUUGAACCGCAUGGUUCAAAAGUGAAAGACGGUCUUGCUGUCACUUAUAGAUGGAUCCGCGCUGCAUUAGCUAGUUGGUAAGGUAACGGCUUACCAAGGCAACGAUGCAUAGCCGACCUGAGAGCGUGAUCGUCAACACUGGAACUGAGACACGGUCCAGACUCCUACGGGAGGCAGCAAAAGGGAAUCUUCCGCAAUGGGCGAAAGCCUGACGGAACAACGCCGAGUGAGUGAUGAAGGUCUUAGGAUCGUCAAACUCUGUUAUUAGGGAAGAACAUAUGUGUAAGUAACUGUGCACAACUUGACGGUACCUAAUCAGAAAGCCACGGCUAACUAAGUU